This 263-nucleotide ribosomal RNA is filed under the name uncultured archaeon. Its description in RNAcentral is "partial 16S ribosomal RNA". It matches the Rfam family "Archaeal small subunit ribosomal RNA", at positions 719 to 982 of the family's 1478-position model. The record is from RNAcentral.
ACACGACUACAUAGAUACCCGGGUAGUCCUAGCCGUAAACGAUACUCGCUAGGUGUCGGCCACGGUGCGACCGUUGUCGGUGCCGUAGGGAAGCCGUGAAGCGAGCCACCUGGGAAGUACGGCCGCAAGGCUGAACUUAAAGGAAUUGGCGGGGGAGCACCACAACGGGUGGAGCUUGCGGUUUAAUUGGAUUCAACGCCGGAAAUCUUACCGGGACCGACAGCAACAUGAAGGCCAGGCUGAAGACUUUGCCGGAUUAGCUG